AGUCCUGCCCAGUGAACUAAGGUUUCAACGGCCGCGGUAUACCUGACCGUGCAAAGGUAGCAUAAUCACUCGCCUUUUAAUUGUAGGCUCGUAUGAAUGGAUAAACGAGGGACCAGCUGUCUCAUAAAAAUAAACUAAAAAUUAAUCUUCAGGUGAAGAAGCCUGAAUGCUCUUAAAAGACAAGAAGACCCUAUAGAGUUUCACUUUAAAUAUAUCCAUUUUUAAAUACUUAUAUUCAAAUAUAUAUAUAUAAGUUUAGUUGGGGCGACUAAGGAAUACAUAAACCUUCCUUAAUAUAAAGAAUUUAUUCACUAAAUAGAUCCUAAAAAGACCAUAAGAAAAAUAUUACCUUAGGGAUAACAGGCUAAUCUCCCCAGAGAGUCCAAAUUGACGGGGAGGGUUGGCACCUCGAUGUUGGCUUAAGACAACUAUUAAAUGCAGC
RNAcentral lists this ribosomal RNA (442 nucleotides) under Sirsoe maximiano. Its description in RNAcentral is "partial 16S ribosomal RNA". It matches the Rfam family "Bacterial large subunit ribosomal RNA", at positions 1855 to 2559 of the family's 2925-position model. The record is from RNAcentral. Lineage: Eukaryota; Metazoa; Annelida; Polychaeta; Phyllodocida; Hesionidae.